Molecule: non-coding RNA, 391 nt
Organism: Nicotiana attenuata
Lineage: Eukaryota; Viridiplantae; Streptophyta; Magnoliopsida; Solanales; Solanaceae
Source: Rfam
UAUAUAUAUAUAUAUAUAUAUAUAUAUAUAUAUAAGCACGGUUUCGGUGCGGGCCGCGAGAGCGGUGCCAAAUCGAGGAAAACUCUGAAUACUAGAUAUGACCUCAAAAUAAGAGGGGGGCAAGGUCGGCUAGUGAGACGAUGGGGGAUAAGCUUCAUCGUUGAGAGGGAAAGAGCCCGGAUCACCAGCUAAGGCCCCCAAAAUGACCGCUUAGUGAUAAAGGAGGUAGGGGUGCAGAGGCAGAGGAGGUUUGCCUAGAGCAGCCACCCUUGAAAGAGUGCGUAAUAGCUCACUAAUCGUUCGGUAUUGUAAGUAAAUUAAUUGUAAAAAUCAAUUACGGAAUUGGACCAAAUUUGGCCCCAAAUCAGCAGCCCAAACGCGCCAAUUUGGU